This is a long non-coding RNA of Amphiprion ocellaris (clown anemonefish), 1300 nucleotides long. NCBI's taxonomy places the organism in Eukaryota, Metazoa, Chordata, Actinopteri, Pomacentridae. The record is from Ensembl.
GAGGGAUGUUGAAGGACUCCAGGACUCCACGGCUGUAAAGAGGGCCCCAGUAGAAGUGAAGUGAUGAGACACAGCUCCAGAAGUUCCAUGAUGACGAGGGACGGAGUCCACCACGAGUGAACGAUACCCAGAGACGAUCAGAAAGAGGAACGACAUUAUAGGGAGCAUAGAGGUCAUUUAAAUGUGCUUCAGUACAAAUGACCCUACAGAUACUGUAUGUGUACACAAAUACUCAUUAGGAUCAGACAAGAUAAGAUCUAUUUUAUUCAUCCUGUAGGAAAUUACUUUCCCAGAGUAUAAUAAACAAUAAACAAAGGUUAGUGGAAUAUACACAAUUACACAGAGGUUAGUAGUAAAUUAUAUAAAGUAAAUGAUAUAGCAAAUAUUUGUAAAAAAUGUGAUUCAUGAGGGAAUCAAUCAACAAUGUUUCUGUGUUUUUCCUUCACAGCUCCUUCCUAGACCCCAAACAAUUAAAAAAAAAUACAAGAGACGAGGGAAGAGUCCUAGAAAAUGAGCCCCAGCACCAGGAUAUGAGAAAAAUGAUGUAAACUGAUCCAGGACCAGCACAUGUCUGACAGCUCGACUAACAGCAGCUAACUCCAUGAGUUUUGCUCUCUUCAAGAUGCCAACAAUCAGAAGGAUCAGAUGAGGACAGGGAGCCAGAUGAAGGACGGCCCACAGGAUGGGAAUCCACAUUAAUGAAGGAAUGCUUAUUGUAGUGACAUGGAAGAGGGAUGCAGGAGCUGGAAGACAUCAGCGAAGCUACACAAGGAAAGACGACCAUUCAUGCUCACAGUCACACGUUCAGAAUCACAGAUGAACCUUCCAUGCAUGUGUUUGGAUGGCAGGUAGAAGCUGGAGCAUCUGCAGAGAACCCACCCAGGACAAAGAAACAGUGAGAGGAGCCCCAGGAUGAUCAAACAUGGAAGAAUCAACCUCAGAUGAGACGACGAAAAGCCCCAAACACACAAGAAGAGUCCGACCCAGGAAAAGAAAGAACAGCAGCUCUGAUUAACUCCAAAGCUCAGUACAAGCAGCUGCAGGAUCUCUGUAGCUUCCUUCACCCCAACCGGUCCAGACAGAUGGCCGUCCUCCCUGCACCUGGUUCUGCUGGAGGGUUUUUCCUUCCUCUCUGCUAACAGGGAGUCUUUUCCUCCCGACUGUCGCCCAGUUCUUGCUCAAAGGGAAUCCAAAGGAAACUCUGGAUUUGUUGGGUUUCCCUGUUGAUAAUGGUUCUGAUGAAAAUAUACCAAAAAGAGAGAACUUCAAAUAAAAAGUCUGUGUUUCUUUUAAAGUUUAA